Molecule: non-coding RNA, 234 nt
Organism: Pelobates cultripes (western spadefoot toad)
Lineage: Eukaryota; Metazoa; Chordata; Amphibia; Anura; Pelobatidae
Source: the annotation of a GenBank genome assembly
AGGGCUGAUGCCUCGGUACUUCGGGAAGGCUUCAGGCGGGGUUUCUUUAUCCCCUUCCGGGAGCAGGGGGGAUCGGGGGGGUUGCGCAACCUGAAGUCGGUGGCGGAUUUCCCAUUGGUGGUACGUGAAAAACUAGACAAGGAGGUUUCGCUAGGGCGGAUGGUGGGCCCGUUUACGGUACCCCCAUUGGAGGCCCUCCGGGUUUCCCCUCUCGGAGUGGUGCCAAAGAAGGAG